AGGACGAACGCUGGCGGCGUGCUUAACACAUGCAAGUGGAGCGACGAACCAGGGCUUGCCCUGGGGCAGAGCCGCGAACGGGUGAGUAACACGUGGGUUACCUGCCUCGAUGACCGGGACAACCCGAGGAAACUCGGGCUAAUACCGGAUGUGCCCGCAAGGGGAAAGGAAGCUUCGGCCUCCGCAUCGAGAUGGGCCCGCGGCCCAUUAGCUUGUUGGUGAGGUAACGGCUCACCAAGGCUUCGAUGGGUAGCUGGUCUGAGAGGACGAUCAGCCACACUGGGACUGAGACACGGCCCAGACUCCUACGGGAGGCAGCAGUGGGGAAUCUUGCGCAAUGCGCGAAAGCGUGACGCAGCAACGCCGCGUGGGGGAAGAAGGCUUUCGGGUGUAAACCCCUUUCAGUUGGGACGAAGCUUCGCCGGUGAAUAGCCGGCCGGAGUGACGGUACCUUCACAAGAAGCACCGGCUAACUACGUGCCAGCAGCCGC
This 491-nucleotide ribosomal RNA is filed under the name uncultured bacterium. Its description in RNAcentral is "SSU rRNA". It matches the Rfam family "Bacterial small subunit ribosomal RNA", at positions 26 to 518 of the family's 1533-position model. The record is from RNAcentral.